Molecule: long non-coding RNA, 993 nt
Organism: Eriocheir sinensis (Chinese mitten crab)
Lineage: Eukaryota; Metazoa; Arthropoda; Malacostraca; Decapoda; Varunidae
Exons: 4
Source: RefSeq, a predicted model, not a curated record
GACCGAUUUGGUGCGUGAGGCCUUGACUGCUCCUACAAACAGGAACCAAGCCCUCUCCCCUGAGAUGAAGGUCCUCGUAACACUGAGGUAUCUUGCUACGGGCAAAAUGCAGCAGUGUAGCAGCGACGACUUGGGGCCUUCACAACAGACCGUCAGCAGGGUCACCCGGGAGACUGUGUACGCCCUUGCACAGCCUCAUAUAGUGAGACGCUUCAUCAAGUUCCCCCUCACUGUGCAAGAAACUCAGGUGAAGCGGCGAGAGUUUGAGGAAAUUGCGGGAUUUCCUGGUGUGGUAGGGGCAGUAGACGGAACACAUGUGAGGAUUGUUGCACCCAAGGAAUUUGAGGCAGAGUAUGUGAACAGAAAAGGGCACCACUCUAUAAAUGUGCAAAUCGUAUGUGACACACGGGAGAAUUUUACACCAAACUGCAAACUGGCCCGGGUCUGUCCAUGACGCACGUAUCUUGCGUGAAAGUGCUCUGUUCACAGGGUUCGAGAGGGGUAUGGUCCCUGCAGGAUGCCACUUAUUGGGAGACAGUGCCUACCCCUCCAAGAAGUGGCUCCUGACACCCUAUGUACGACCUCAGCCGGGCCCACAGUCCGCCUAUAAUAGAGCACACAAAAGGACAAGGAGCACAGUGGAGAGGGGGAUUGGCCAGUGGAAGCGGAGAUUUCAUGUGCUCCAUGGUGAAAUCAGAGUCAGCCCUCCUGCAUAUGUGUGUAGAAUAACACAGGUGUGUGCUAUUUUUGCACAAUAUCUACAAAGACAGACGCCUCCCUGUACCCGAGGAAGGAGAGGACGAGGGUGAUGGUGCAGUUCUUCAUGAGGACCCACCUGUCCCACUACCACCUGUACCUGGACGAGUUCGGGAAGGUCUGCGCUACAGGGAUGAGUUUGUCAACUUCACUUCAUUGACAGACCCCAACUUCAGCCUCGUGCAGCUGUGUGAGGCUUCCCGACCCAUCAACAGGUUAAUUCCACACCUACUUCCA